Molecule: ribosomal RNA, 1018 nt
Filed under: uncultured bacterium
Lineage: Bacteria
Description: bacterial SSU rRNA
Rfam family: Bacterial small subunit ribosomal RNA
Source: RNAcentral
AGGAAUAUUGGUCAAUGGGCGUAAGCCUGAACCAGCCAAGUCGCGUGAGGGAUGAAGGUUCUAUGGAUCGUAAACCUCUUUUAUAAGGGAAUAAAGUGCGGGACGUGUCCCGUUUUGUAUGUACCUUAUGAAUAAGGAUCGGCUAACUCCGUGCCAGCAGCCGCGGUAAUACGGAGGAUCCGAGCGUUAUCCGGAUUUAUUGGGUUUAAAGGGUGCGUAGGCGGCCUUUUAAGUCAGCGGUGAAAGUCUGUGGCUCAACCAUAGAAUUGCCGUUGAAACUGGGAGGCUUGAGUAUGUUUGAGGCAGGCGGAAUGCGUGGUGUAGCGGUGAAAUGCUUAGAUAUCACGCAGAACCCCGAUUGCGAAGGCAGCCUGCCAAGCCAUGACUGACGCUGAUGCACGAAAGCGUGGGGAUCAAACAGGAUUAGAUACCCUGGUAGUCCACGCAGUAAACGAUGAUCACUAGCUGUUUGCGAUACAGUGUAAGCGGCACAGCGAAAGCGUUAAGUGAUCCACCUGGGGAGUACGCCGGCAACGGUGAAACUCAAAGGAAUUGACGGGGGCCCGCACAAGCGGAGGAACAUGUGGUUUAAUUCGAUGAUACGCGAGGAACCUUACCCGGGUUUGAACGCAUUCGGACCGAGGUGGAAACACCUCUUCUAGCAAUAGCCGUUUGCGAGGUGCUGCAUGGUUGUCGUCAGCUCGUGCCGUGAGGUGUCGGCUUAAGUGCCAUAACGAGCGCAACCCUUGCCACUAGUUACUAACAGGUAAAGCUGAGGACUCUGGUGGGACUGCCAGCGUAAGCUGCGAGGAAGGCGGGGAUGACGUCAAAUCAGCACGGCCCUUACAUCCGGGGCGACACACGUGUUACAAUGGCGUGGACAAAGGGAAGCCACCUGGCGACAGGGAGCGAAUCCCCAAACCACGUCUCAGUUCGGAUCGGAGUCUGCAACCCGACUCCGUGAAGCUGGAUUCGCUAGUAAUCGCGCAUCAGCCAUGGCGCGGUGAAUACGUUCCCG